Pelobates cultripes (western spadefoot toad) is the source of this 478-nucleotide non-coding RNA. The record is from the annotation of a GenBank genome assembly. NCBI's taxonomy places the organism in Eukaryota, Metazoa, Chordata, Amphibia, Anura, Pelobatidae.
AGACAAUUGAUUUUAAUGCAGCCCUUCUAAGUAUCUGCAAGAUUUCAACACUAGAUAUUACUAGAGCUUAUUAAUUUUACAUGAUUGAUAAAUUGGAUAACUAUUAGAAAUGUUAAAUUGUGUAUAGGAGAGAAUUAUGGUCUAAGCAAACAUUCAUACAGUCCAGUUACACUGAUUAGCAGUGUGUCAGUUCCGAUGUGUUCCUUUAAAUUUAGCCUGCCCUUUUUCAGAUGAAGCUCAGAUUCGAUACUGUGUAGAUUCAAGGUGUUAUUUGUGUGAAGAUUUACAUUUCCUACUGCUGCCACUAAACACGUUUCUCGAUCUUCAGCGGAUGUGCCAAGUUACCUUAGAAAUCAGAUAUCCCAAAAACCAUCAAAGACCCUGUUGGGAAGAAUGGCACUGAAUCUUUUCACGUUAGCAACAUGAAAAUUGGACGUCAUUCAGACCUGUGUCAUCGUGUAAAAGACCUUGAUUUUCU